This 689-nucleotide ribosomal RNA is filed under the name uncultured bacterium. RNAcentral's name for it is "bacterial SSU rRNA". It matches the Rfam family "Bacterial small subunit ribosomal RNA", at positions 32 to 715 of the family's 1533-position model. The record is from RNAcentral.
AACGCUAGCUACAGGCUUAACACAUGCAAGUCGAGGGGCAGCACGGUGCAGCAAUGCAUGGGUGGCGACCGGCGCACGGGUGAGUAACACGUAUCCAACCUGUCCCAUACUCGGGGAUAGCCUUUCGAAAGAAAGAUUAAUACCCGAUAGUAUUAUAACGAGGCAUCUCAUUAUAAUUAAAGAACUUCGGUAUGGGGUGGGGAUGCGUUCCAUUAGCUUGUUGGCGGGGUAACGGCCCACCAAGGCAACGAUGGAUAGGGGUUCUGAGAGGAAGGUCCCCCACAUUGGAACUGAGACACGGUCCAAACUCCUACGGGAGGCAGCAGUGAGGAAUAUUGGUCAAUGGACGAGAGUCUGAACCAGCCAAGUAGCGUGAAGGAAGACUGCCCUAUGGGUUGUAAACUUCUUUUAUAAGGGGAUAAAGUGCAUCACGUGUGGUGUUUUGUAUGUACCUUAUGAAUAAGGAUCGGCUAACUCCGUGCCAGCAGCCGCGGUAAUACGGAGGAUCCGAGCGUUAUCCGGAUUUAUUGGGUUUAAAGGGAGCGUAGGCGGCAGGUUAAGUCAGUUGUGAAAGUUUGCGGCUCAACCGUAAAAUUGCAGUUGAUACUGGCCUGCUUGAGUGCGGCAGAGGCAGGCGGAAUUUGUGGUGUAGCGGUGAAAUGCUUAGAUAUCACGAAGAACUCCGAUUG